Rhopilema esculentum is the source of this 25956-nucleotide non-coding RNA. Lineage: Eukaryota; Metazoa; Cnidaria; Scyphozoa; Rhizostomeae; Rhizostomatidae. The record is from RefSeq and is a predicted model, not a curated record.
AAUCAUCUGACGCAAAAUCAUUCACGCGGAAAUACUGGUAAAAAGACGAUCCCGUCAGUACAAGGGCCCAGUCAGUACUUGAAAUUGCAAGGCGGACAAAAAAUAGACCUUAUUUCCAAAAUAGGCAUAACUUUUGGAGGUUUGUCAAAAUCUAGACCCAAGCCAGAUUAGCUUGAAAUUUUUUAAAGGGAAAGUGAAUUGUCAUAUUCAGAAUUAAACAAGCAAAUGUUAACUGACUCGCUGGAGCUGCCACCAUGGCUAUAGCUGAAGAAGCAACAUGCAAUCAAAUUUGCACAAAGGGAGUUUGUACGUGGCACACUUACAUUAAAAGAAUACUAUGGCAAGUGCAAAAAAAUCAGUUGUACAGAGCAUAAAUAUAAGCAUGAUGAUGUAAUGAUGGUGACGAUGUUGAUAAUGCUUACGAGGAUGACAAAAGUAGCGACGAUGUUGAUGAUGGCAAUGAAUAUUUUAGUGAUGGUGGUAUAGGUGGAGAUAGAAUACUAGAUGAAAGAAGCUCUGGGUUAGGCCAAGGUUUGUUUCUACGACAGAGUAUAAAGUAACUGCAUCGAAUUAUGAUCUUUGAUUAACCAAAAUAGAUCUAAACAAUCUUUUGGUGGUACAAAACUUGUAAAUGGCUUUGAAAAAAGCAAACAUUUAGUAAACUAAAGCUUUUCGUCUGACACUCUUCAGAGUUUAAAACGUCAGAACAUAGAUCGAAAACUCUACGCUAAGAAAUAUAUAUACCCAGUUGCGGAUCGAAAUAGGCCAAUCAGAAACACGAGCCGAGCGAUCGCGCCUUACCAAUAAUCCGAAACAUGUCGCCAUUAUAGUUUUUUGCACAAUUUGGGUUUUCUAGCAAAUGUUUUGUUUCUAAUAUUAGAUGGAACAUGUUGUUUUAUCCUAUCCUCCAUUCUUUGGGGGGUGCGUCCUACGUAGCCAGAAUCACACUGGCACGUAAAUUCAUAUACAACAGAACUUUUUUUUGUGGCAGGAACGCAAUUCUUUUUGAAUGGACGAAAGGACCUUUUUCGUACUAUAAACAACACGUGGGUUGACCGCGAAAAAACAAUUUGUUAUGGCCUGUUUUAUUUGGCUUUCAAAACGAAGGGAGCUGUUACCGAUCCAGGGUAGUUUUAGAUAGACCGGGCACUUUUGAGGACAAAAUUUUACGUCAGCCGAAAAAUUUCCUAUCUUCUCCUUAAUGUAAACUGAAAUAACAUCUUCUGGAUAGCCGUUCUCCAGAAAAAUCUUAGUUAGUUUUUCAAGUUCCGAGUCGAGUUUAGACUUGGAACAAAUCAUCAGUGCCCUAUGUGUAAGCGUUUUGAUGAGGCUGAUUUUUCUUUGUUUUGGGCAAAACGAACUCCAUCGAGUGUACAACCCCGAAAAUGUGGGUUUACGGUAUACACUAGUGAGAAAUCCAGUGUCAGAUUUUUCAACCAAAACAUUCAGAAAUGGCAAGGAGUUAUUUUCUUCCUUAGAUCUAGCGACAAUGGGAAUUUUCAUUCUCAAGAUCGUCCAGCAUAUCUGUAAAAGUAGAACAUGAUUGCCUAAAGAUGCCAAGAAAGAGAGCUGAUUUAGAGCUUAAAAAAUUUAACGGACUUGUACGAACUGCUAAGAGUUUUUAAAAGAGAUUUUACUUAUUUUUUUGCGAAAACUUUUAACAUUAAGAUCUUUCUCAAAGCCAACUAUAAGUUCAAUGAUGUGAAUGAUUUUCUUGAAGCAAUCAGCAGCAUAUCAGGCAGUGGUGGGUUGGCCCACCAGCCCAUCGGCCCAUGGCCGGUGGGCCCCCUUUAAAAUCUGGCAAAAAGGUCCCCAUCUUUGCAGAAAAAGGGCCCCAUUUUAGGAAUGUGGGGCCUUAAGAUGUUCUAUUAAGAAUAAUAAAUAUCAAGGAUUACAUCAAAACUGAGUUUGAAUAAGCGUCAUAGCAUGUGGUUAUGAAAUGAGUUGGGUCGAAGCUAAAAAAAAGGAUGACUUUUUUAGGUUAUGAAAGGUUAAUGGACAUUUGGAAUUUUUAAUAUGAUGGAAUUUUCUGAAAUUUUUGAUUUUCAUAGACACGGGUUCAGUUAAUCUGCCCGGCAUUAAUUGUAGAGUUCACUUAAUUUUGCCAGUUAGCAAAAAAGUAAAGAGUGAUUCAGUAACAAACUUGGCGUUAACUUCUUCUUUUGCUCAAGCCAUAGCAUUAAGAUAAUGCGAUGUGAAUGAUUCUUCAACGGAGGUUGCUGCAUCGUAUUAAAGAUUCGUUUACCGAAUAAUCUAAUUGUUUGCUUGCCCUGGAAUGUUUAGUAUAAACACGAACGGGUAAGGUAUUGCCUCAUAAAAUGAAAAAUUGAUAUAAAAAGAUGUCAAUAAAAUGGCAAGAAGUAGGCAAAUUUCACAAUGGACGAAUAAAUUCCGAGUCUCAGAAAGGAAGGCAAAGUUUAUGCAAAAAGGGGACAGGACUGAUCAGUGGUUUCUUGGAAUGCAAAUUAAAGAAAUGCAACUUCUGGUAGCAUUUGAUUGAAAUGGUCUUCGAGAUGAUAAACCUAAAACUUUUGUGGAAAAUAUAGUUUGUAAGCACGAUUUGAGUCAAAAAUACAGACAGCAAACCAAUUUAGAGGAUGAUUACACAAAAAUUAUAGGGAACCUUCUUGCUAUGAUUUAGCUAUAAUAUCAUGAUUAAGAUUUCAAAUUUUCGUAUACAGAAAUGAUUCGCUUUGGCUUUAUUUGUAGCUAAGCAUUUCUUUCCAUUUUGUAUUGUUAAUAGCUGCAUAUGAGCCACAACUUUCAUAAAGCGAGUCAGUGUACCUUCCUUUCUAGUUUGCUUCUUUUAGGUCUGCCAGUUUAUCCUAUCCUUUAUGCAUCUGAGGUUAGAUUUCUUAUAACUUUUAACUUUGUUUCUUCGAGAAAGUCUCUUGUUCAAAAUGACUGAAAUCCAAAUCAGACAGAGUCAUCUCUCCAGGUGUUGCGCCCAUCCAGCUGCGACAUAAAGCAUUGUUUCUGGAAGGAGGCAAAAAGAACAAGUGGAGGUUUCAUAAAAGUUCCAUUUAAAGAGAUUUUCACUAGUGGCAAGCAUGUUGUUGAGGUUUCUUAUCGAGAAGUUAAAUGUGUUUUUAGGCAAAGAGCUCUGUGCACAGUCGACCAGGGGCUAUUGAAAUGUUUCAGAAAAUUCUCUAGUAGAGAGGAGAUUAUUGUUCCUUGGCUUGCGAGCUGGUUUUUUAGUUUGUCUUCGUGCUGGCUUCUAAUUUCUUUCAAAACUGCCUUCGUGUUCAUUCAUUGAUCAUGUUGGAUAUUCUUUCCGUAGGAGGUGUUUGCCAAAGAUGUUUGAUUUGAUUAUGUUUCAAGUGUUAACGACCGUCGAUGGGUGACUUAGCACUGCAGGAAUUUGCAAGGUGGAAGCAUAAAGUUAAGACCAAAGCUGCUUUUAGGGAGAAUGAUACCACUGAUUGUAGUAGUGAAUGGAAGAUCAAGCCAUUGCCUGACAUAUUUUGUAACAAGAUUGUCAAGGUUUCUAGCAAUCCAUGUUUUUGGCAAGUCAAUUAUAGUGAGAUGCCAUUAUAAUAAAGAAAGAACAUAUUUUUGGUACAGAUGAAGUUUGUUCUUUGGAAGAAUAGGCAAUGCAUAAAUUUUGUGGAGUAAGUUUUUUAGAAGAGUUUCAAUAAAGGUUUUUUGCACUUGAUUUUUCAUCUUAAAGUCAAAAGAACGACCGAGAUACUUAAAGUGGAUAUGACACGAAAAUUUUUAUUGACCGCUAGAUGUAAUCAAGUAUGCUGAUCACGAGAAUCGCCAUAAAAUUUUCGAAGAAUUAAAACUUUCGUAAUUACAGCUAUUUCAAAGUCGAUUUUUCCUUCAAAUUCUGUCAUAAGGGAUUGAGUCGAGUUUUACAGGAAGUUACGUAAAGUGGUUGAAUCUGUCACGGGAUUGUUUCUUGUUUUUAAGCAAUGUAAAUGACGGCGGAGUUUUACCUGCGAGUCUUUGAACAUGUCUCACGGCAAAUAUUCAAGCUCAAAUACGUCAGUUUUUGAAGAAAGUGAAGGGAAUAGCUUGUAGGUGCUGCUGAUGGCUUUUGUUGCCUUGCAUAAACGAAACAGUCGUUUCUUCUGCGGAUAAUUCAGACGUGGUACCAGGCGAAGCUGCAUAGCUCGAAGCUUUCAUUCCGGGCAGAAGACGAAGAUGGGAUACAGCAGUCCAAACUGUGUGAUCGAUGGCGAGGAAAAAAAACGUUGAAUCAACGGUGAGUGAAAUAAGUUGUCAUUGUGUUUUUUAGUGUUGUUAAUUCAGUAUUGUCUGUACAUAGCUGCUGUUGCGAUCAGUAGAGAUGGACACAAAUAAACAACUCGCAAGGUUAAACUUCUUCCUUCAGUUUGAAUUCACCAGCCACACUACUCCCUACAUUUACAUAACAAAGUGAAAAACCAUUAAGCGUGCAAAAUAAAUUUUCGAAUUCGUGACACCUUCCCCCUAUUUGACCCAAAUAGGCAUCAAAUAGUUACUAUUUUUUUAACCGUUUUCUCACUCUCUCUCUCUUCGUAUCGGAACCUCUCUGGGUUGGUUUGAAUUCGCUAGCUUGUGGGUUCAAUUCUUUUGUUUUUUAAUAUCACACUCUAAUUUGAAGGGGUACAAUAGUUCGACUGCUCUUUCGAUACGUGUUUUCUUUGACUCCAAUCUUGCUCCCCUCACGAUUCCAUCACGACCUCGGAUCAGCUGCUCUGCAACUCUGAUGUUCCACUCUACUCUGUUCUUUUCAUCACUUUUGAUAACAACAACUUGACCGAUAUAGAUCUCGUCCGACUGUCUGUCUUUCUUCUGAAGAUUAUGGCUUUUCCUUCAGGGAACGAAUAUACUCAUUAGGCUAUCCUUUCAACAGAUUUUCUCUACACUUCAAAUACCAUAUAUGAAAACUUUCUAUAAAAACCAAAUUAUCCUAAUUACAAUUCAAUAUUUACAAUCUAAAAUAUAUCCUCUUUUAACUUGAAUUCAAUUUUACUACAAAUAUCUAUAACGAAAGGUGAAAUGGUAAUUUCCAAUAUGCAAUUUACAAUUAUGCCUAUUUACAAUUUUGCAAGAUUUUUUUAAGUUUGUCAAGGAAGAUGCCUGUUUACACCCAGCUGAAAGGCCAUUUCAAGACCUAGCAUUUCUGUCCAUUUUUGGAGUUUUUUUGGUAGCCUUUGGUCAAUUGAUGUAUUCCAAGAUUCUUAAAAUUUAACUUGGAUUUGAAGGGAUCACACACGUAUUGUGGAGCCAGUCCAUGAAUCGAUUUGAAGACCAUGAUAUUUGACUCACUAGUGAUUAGCUCCUCUAUGGUCCUCCAGCAAAUUUAAAAGAUAUUUCCCUUCAGAUUCGGAUUGCGAGCAAGGAAUUAUGGUAUGGCUCACGAUAUUGAUUUGAUGACGACAUUAAGAUAAACAUUUUAUAAGGGAUUUGACUGUGAUUGCCGACGUGUAAAGUUUCCCCCGGAAUGAUUUUUGCAGUCAAAUCCCGUCAUUUCUCUACGAAAUUUAAAAUUCAAGCACAAACAAUAUGAAAGAUUGUAUCCAACCUAAAAUUAUGGUGAUAAAAAUCUGAACUUAAAAAAAUCGUAUAAUGAAGUUUGGAGAAAUUUCCAAAACAAGGCCGUAAGUCGAAUUGGAGUAUGGAUCGAUCAGACUAGAUAAAUAUAAAAAUAACUUUGAAGAUAAAUAUAGGAUGUAAGAUAUAUAAAAAAGUAAUAACGGAAUGAUCAAAUUUUGCCGGGGCCUUUUUUGCAACAAAAUCUUUGUUAUGGGAGCUUAAUUUGCCAAAUCACUUUCCAACCUGCAUCAGUUUCAGAUCUGUAGCACAUUAGGCUCAACAUUUAGAAUAUCGUCGUGAUAAAAUUUUGUCUUGGAUUAAAGCAAAACAGAGAUCCUUGGCAAUACAAAAUACUAUCAGUAUUCUAAGAGGCAAAACAACCAGAUCCUUGGAGACUUGGGGGCUUGAACCUCACUGGCAAUUUGGCCUUUCUGACAACAUUUUCAUUCAUAACAGCAUUUUAGAAAAAUUCAAAACAAAAGCGGAAUGUCUCCUACGUUCAUAUGAAGGCAAAUCAAGUUUUUUCCAGCUCACAAUAAGUCUAUAUUCGUAAUCAAUACGAUAUGAAAGUUUAUAAACACAGUCCAAUUAGAGGUAUAAGUAAAAUAUAAGUAUGAGAAUCGGAAAGUACAAAACAACCUCUUAUACGAGAAAGUGAACCACGAAAUUUUGCUGUCUUAAGCCUUUAAACUUUGUGUUAAAAAACUCAAAUACAAUGAAAGAAUGAAAGAAAUAGUACAGUUGAACUAUAAAAAGACAGAGGUGGAAUCUUUUGAAAUCGGCAACAUAAAUAGUUAGAACUACUUUUAUCGAACGAUUAGAAUGAAGGCAGUUCAAGAGCUAGACACCUUACAAAUGUGGCAAUAGAUGUGCAUCAAAAGGUUAGAAGGUAAAAAUAUUAAUCAGCCUAGUAUGAAUACAUCUCUUGGCAACCUAAAUAAUAAUAAACUAAAACAUGACAUCAAAAUAAUGUGCCCCUGCAAAGUUCCUUGACAGUCGUUGCAACUGAUCUAAAAAGUCUUCCUGUUGAGAUCAAUGGGUUGUUCUGCGGUCAUUCCCUGAUCGUUCCGCUAGUUCCCUCCUCAUUCCGUGGUCUUUCCGCUAGUUCCGUGGUCAUUUCUUAGUCGUUCCGCUAGUUCCACGCAUGUUCCACUAGUUUUUCGUAUUAGCAACGUUGGUCAAUCAGUUUCGAAACGACUGUGGCUCUUUGAUGUAUUUCUACAGCUAGCUGAUUGUGAUCUUCGUCCACUUUUCUGGUGCUCGGCGUUGGCAGCUGUAAUAAUCUGCGUCCCAUCAGCAAAUGCGAGGGUGUGAGAGGUUCCUGAAGGUCAUUUGGAUAAACAUAGCUUAGUGUACGCGAAUUUUAGACACCAUACAUUUACAUACCCCUAUACUCUUCUCUAAGCAAAGUUUCACUCCCUUUAUGGGCCUUUGGCCAGAUUGAAUUUCCAAGAAUGCGCUUAUUAGCCAAGAAUGCUUUAAGAGUGGACGAUUUUAAGAUGGUUAAAAGUGUCUUGGAAAAUGCCUUGGACGUCUUUGUGUUGUUGGUAACUAUUGUAUCUGUUAUCCCUCUACUGGUAACAAAUCUAAGAAAACAAAGUAAGAAGGUUUGGACUGUCAGGUCUGAAACGAGUUUUAUUAUUUUCAUUAUUAGUAUGGUAUACAUUUUAGAGCUAACUGUUGGCUUCGAAUCCAAUCUUGAGACAAAUGCUACAAGAAGACACAGCAAGUAUGCUCCUCUCUUAUCUGGUUUACAGCGGCAGUUCAAAUGUGUCUCCUUUGUUAAUCUUUCUAUGAGCUCUCUUGGCAUCUUCGGCAACUCCUGCAAUUCAUUCUUUAAAAUGUGUGACUCUCUCUCCAUCGAUCAGCAACAAAAACAGUAUCUCAUUUCUAAACUUUCCAACAUUGCCAUCCGUACUACGUACUACAUAUUUUGUUGCAAAAAUAAGCCAUGGACAAAUCCGGAAUUACACCCUUUUUAACUUUAGUUGUUUUAUUUUAUUUUUCUCAGUUUUUCCUUUUACCUUACGAUUGUUAUAGUUUUUUCUUGUAAAUCCAGCCUAGCCAAUUGCAAAUUACCUUGUAAUAGUGAGAUUUGUAGUUGUAGUUUAAGUUGAAUUGAAAAUGAAAUGUUUCCAUUAUUAUUAUUAUUAUUUUGUUCUUAGAUGUUAUUGUUAUUAUUUCGUGCUUGGGAUAUUGCUGUUUUUUGCAAUUUUCUCGCUCUGCGGAAAAGAAUUUCAGGCCUUAGGCAGCCAUACUUGGAGGUGCAAGCAACUGUUGGAGAACAAUGACAGUGGCCCGUCGGGAUCAAUUAACAUUCCAUUUAUUGAAACAGAAUAGGAAAGCGCGUCUUUCAUCAACAAAUUUAUUGUCAAAUGAUCAUGUGGUAAAGAAUACAAGGGGAUGAAAGGAUUGAAAAUGCACUCACAUCACGAAUCACGAUAACUUCAUUUCAAAGAACCGUUUUUGGGGAUACGUCAAAUGUGUUCUUCAAAGAAGCUCAAAUCUUCUACCUUCCUUUUCCAAAGAUCAGUGCUCUCAGUAUUUCUUUAAAAUGUUUUCUUCUCUGUCGCCAUGCAUAAAGUUUUCUAUUCAUUCAUGGAUUGCAUAUCUUAGGGAGCCUAAUCACCCUUUUCCUUUGGAGCCUCCUUUUUAUAAAAAUAUCACAUCAGUUAUUCGGCGUAUGAAAUCUUCAGCCACUCUAUGUCCCCGUGACAAAAUGUCCAUCAUUGUUUUUAAACGUUGUCCACAUUUGCGCUCUUUAAUAACUAAUAUCAUUCAUAAUAUGUGGCUCUCUGGAAAAGUUCCUUUAGAGUGGAAAAAAAGCAUGCACUAUCCUAAUUCACAAAAUGGAUAGCAAUGACGAUCAAGCAAAUAUCAGGCCAAUCACUCUUGAGCCAGUGCCUUUGAAAAUUUUCACAUCAUGCCUGUUUGACAGUCUAUUCAAUUUUCUUAAAGUAAAUGGUCUCAUUGAGCACGAAAUUCAAAAAGGCUUCACCUCGAAUAUUUCAGGGACCUUAAAGCAUACUGCCAUGAUGGCUCAGGUCGUAUACAAAACUCGAGUCAAGCAACGUUCACUAGUUGUCACUUUUCUCGAUCUUAAAAAUGCAUUUGGAGAAGUACAUCAUAAUUUGAUACCCACUGUACUGUCUUAUCAUCAUAUCCCUGACAACAUACAACUUCAUAUCUCUAGCCUUUACACCAAUUUUAAAACCUUUAUCAUCACAAGCCACUAUAAUACUCUAUUUCAGUCCGUCGUGGUGUUUUUCAAGGCCACUGCCUCAGUCCCCUAUUAUUUAAUUUAUUCUUCAAUACAUUUGUUCAGUACAUAAAAGGUGAAGAAUACAAACAGUUAGGUUUCUCCCCACAUUGUCAGAACGACCGUAUGUUUCAACCAGUCCAUUGGUUUCAAUUUGCAGACGAUGCUGCCGUUAUCACCAGCAAGGAGAAAGAAAACCAACUUCUACUGAAUUGUUUCACUUGCUGGUGCCAAUGGGCUAACAUGAUCAUACGUGUUGAUAAAUGCAUCAAUUUUGGAAUAAAAAAUUUUUCCUAACGUUCUCUUCAGUAUCAACAUAGGCUUUUCAUAAACAACAAAUCUAUCCCACCUGUCUCGAAUGGAAACUCUUUUAAGUACCUCGCUUGUCAUUUUCACUUUGAAAUGACAAACCAAGAACACAAACCUGACCUUGAAUCAUCACUGUCCAGCAUGCUUAAACAAGUCGAUUCCCAGCCUCUUCAUGCAAAAAAUAAGCUGCUUCUUUAUCACAACUUUGUUCUUUCUAAAAUCUCCCGGAAUCUUAUUGUAGCAGGUUUUUCAAAGACCUGGGUUGUUGAGAAUCUUGACAACCUCGUAUCCAAAUACAACCGCCAGUGGCUCGACCUCCCAAUAAGUGCUACCUUGUGUAGCAUUAUUCUUUCUAAAAACCAGUUUGGACUCAGCUAACUUCACCAUCCGCGAAAAUUCCUACAGUGUCAAACAGUUUUACGCAACGCACUGAAAUCUUCACCAGACAAUAACAUGUGUUCUUUAUGGAAAAAUACCAACAGUAGCACAAAUUUACGAUAUGAUAUAUAUAGGAACACGAAAGAAACAUUAAAGGCUGUCCAGCAAGAGCAUAAAGAUCGUCUGCAAAACAUUCUAACUUCUCAAGAAUCUUUAUUAUCACAUCUUUUUAACCAGGAUCUUUCGCAAAUAAACCAACUUUGGUCCAAGGUGCAAGGUAUCAUGCUUCAAAAUAUUUUCAAUUUCACAAUAAGGUACCUAAACAGUGCCCUUGCCACACAGAAAAACUUGAAAAAGUGGAACUUGAGCCAGACCUCUGACUGUUCUUUCUGUUUUCUGCGAGAAACCCUCCUUCACGUUGUUGCUGGCUGCAAAACAUAUCUGGAACAAUGCCUAUACACCUGGCGACAUAACUUUAUCCUAAACUCUCUAGCUACAUCACUAAAAGCUGUCAAUGAAUGCUUUCUUUCACCAUCACUCAUAACUGGAGAAAACUUUUGCCCUCAUCUUCUCUUCAGGACUAACAACAAUUACCUCUAAAUUUUAGAGCUAACUGUUGGCUUGGAAUCCAAUCUUGACACAAAUGAAACAAGAAAACACAGCAAGUAUGCUGCUCUUUUAUCUGGUUUACAGCGGCAGUUCAAAUGUGUCUCCUUUGUUAAUCUUUCUAUGAGCUCUCUUGGCAUCUUCGGCAACCCCUGCAAUUCAUUCUUCAAAAUUUGUGACUCUCUCUCCAUCGAUGAACAACAAAAACGGUAUCUCAUCUCUAAACUUUUCGAUCUGUACUAUGUACUACAUAUUUUGUUGCAAAAUUUACCGUGGACAAAUCCGGAAUAACAUCCCUUUUAAUUCUGGUCGUUUAAUUUUUUUUCAGUUUUCCCUUAAUUUAAUUUUUUUAGUAUAGUAUUUGGUCGUUUAAUUUUUCAGUAUAGUAUUUUCUUGUAGAACCAGGCUAGCCAAUUGCAAAUUACCUUGUAAUAGUGAGAUUUGUAAUUGUAGUUUUCAGUUGAAUUGAAAAUGAAAUGUUUCCAUUAUUAUUAUCUGUUUGCCGCCCAUUUUCUUUGAAAGGUUCAUAAUUUGUCCUUGAGGUUUGGUGACAGCAAGUCUCCUAAAAACGCGAGGACUUUCCUGAGGAUUCUGGUAGAAUUCAAGAUGACUGUUCUCUGCAGUUCAAAAUUUUGGUCUCAAUUCCGAUUUCUUUUAGCCUUUUCUUUUGGUCUUUAGGGGCCGUUCCAAGGGCAUCAAUAUAUAGGUAUGAUCCGCAUACUCAUGUUCCACAAUGUUUUGAGUUCCCUGGCCAGAUCUUGAUAUUUCUCUAACUUUUCGAACUCUUUUGUUUAAACUCGACUGUCGUAUGGAAUUGCGACCUCCACUAUCAGGCAUUCAUUUUUCACUUUAUCCUUAACGACUAAGUCUGGGCGCCUUGCUUGUAUGACGUGAUCUAUUGGUAUGUUCAAGUCCCAAAGAAUUGUACAGACAUCGUUUCACAUCGUUGUCUCUGGACUGUAUUUUUACGUUUUGCGUUACGUUUUUACGUUCAUACGAUUUGCUUUUUAGAUCAAGGCCAUAUUUCAGGCAAGCUUCCCAGUGAAUCUUUUUCCCGGCCAAAUGAUGAUGUCUUUUAAACUGUUUUUGCACCAUCUUGCUGCAUUCACUUAAGCGAUGAUUGACUGUUUCAUCAGCUUGUUUACACAUUCGGUAUAGGCUAUCCUCCUGCGUUUGUUCGAUUUUUGUUUGAUCUGAUUUGUUCUAAUUUCUUGUUCCUGCGAAGCUAGGAUGAGCGUUUCUGUUUCUCUUUUAAUUCCUCCCUUACUAAGCCAUCCUCACCAAUAAUUGCUAGCAACUGCUUGUGUUUGUCUUAAAAACUGUCCAUGUUACGCAUUGUCGGUCCAGUCUUGCUUACGUUCCUUUGUUCUUCUUCUUUUGAAUCCCUUUGCUGUUUCUGAUAUAUCUUCUGGUUUCCUUGCGGCAAUGACCAGCUUUUCUUCACUCUCCUGUAUGUAUUACUGUAGUGCAAGUAUCGCUGUUCUCGUGCUGUCUUUAAUAAGACCUUAUCCGCCUUCUUUCCUUGAUUGGUAUAUUCUAUCUACAUUGCUCUAUGGGUGCAAAGCUUUGUGCAUCGUCAUCAACUUUCUUGUUCUUCGACCCAAAGCUAAAAGCUCAUCUUUGUUCCAGUCUAGAAAGGGAGCUCAAUAUCGGAUGACAGCUACUGCCCAAGUAUUGAUAGCUUUAAUUAAGUUAUGGCCAUUAUGGCCAUUCAGCUUUGUCUCUAAGACAUUCCUUAUUUAUCUUUUGUAUUCUUUCUUCAUCUUUUCUUUCAUUUCUGAUCUUUUCAAGUAAUCUGCCUCAAGCACUCCGAGAUAUUUGUAGCUUUCAUCUUCCUUUACACUACUAAACUUUCUCUCGUCAGGUAAUUUUACACCUUCUGCCUCGACAGUUUCCCCCCUUUUCAUUAUCAAUAUAGCACAUUUAUCUAAACCAAAUUCCAUCCCAAUAUGUUCACUGAAUAUUCUUACUGUUUGAAUCAAAGACUCUAGAUCUUUUUCAUUCUUUGCAUAGACUUUGAGAUCAUUCAUAAACAGUAGGUGGUUGAUCUUUUCAUUGUUUGAGAUAAAAUUAUAUCCUGCUUUUACCUUCCGCAGCACACCAUUCAGGAGUAUACGAACAAUUACAAAUAGUAGCGGUGAUAAGGCAUCCCCAUGGAAUAUUCCUUGUUUUAUGUUUACUUCUCCAAGUUCUUGCUUUCCGCAAGUGAACUCUACUUUCCACUUCUUCGUGCUUUCUUUCAAUAGGUUUUGAACCUUCCCGUUAUUUCCUAGAUUUACUAGACAUCCAAUUAUCCAGCUAUGCGGGAGCAUGUCGUAUGCUUUCCGACAAUCUAUCCAUUCCAUGGCUAGAAUCCUUUUUUCUUGAUUUGACUUCCUUCAUUAUCAUUUUGUCUAUAAAGCGCAGGUCUGCAGUUCCUUUAGAGUUACGUCUGCAACCUUUUUGCUCCUUGGGUAGAAAAUUGUGUCCUUCAAGAAAGCUACACACUUCAUUUGCAACAACUCCAGUUAAAAGCUUCCAGACAAGUGGAAGGCAUGUAAUAUGUCGAUAGUUACUGGCGACUGUACCUUCGCUACAAUCUUUUUUGAUAAGUACAGCCCUUCCUUUUGUAUAAGAUGCAGGAGUUUUAACUGUUUCUAAGCAGAGGUUAAGAUGUUCUGCUAGUUUUGAAUGGGAAUUCUUUAGCCGAUAUCCCUGUACGCCAUCAGGUCCAGGAGCCUUCCAAUGGGGGAACUUUUUAAAAAUUGCUUUGACUCUCUUGUCUGUGAUUGUUAUGUUACUCUGCUGGCAUAUACCUCUAACUUCACAGCGAAAGUUUUCUAACCAUUCUGCUUUUUUAUUGUGAUCAACUUAUUUCCCAAAAAUGUCUUUCGUUGUUGGUAUCUCUUUAUCUUUCCCGUUUUCGCUCCUAUUCUUUGCUUAAUUUCCUCUCUCACAGUUUUGUUUCAUUUUGUAUUUUCUCUGAAGGGAAUCUUGAUGUUUUUUUUUAUAUUUGCUUUUGCUGAAUCAAGUUGUUAAUCCUGCUAAGAUCUUUGUUCAGUUGUCUUACUUGGUCCUCUGAUCUUCUCCUCCACCAUGGCACUUUCUUUUCUUUUUGUUUUCUACGCAUCCCCACCAUUUGAGUUACCAAAGCUGCUCCUCCGUACAUCAGAUGCAUUCACAUGAGUUAUAUCUUUUACCUGCACCUUUCCCAACACCGUAUUAACCUUAUUAACCACUUUUUUUAACUUCUUACUGUCAACUCCCUUCAACGGUGGUAAUCUUCCUCUCUGUUGUCUGCCAAAAUCUUUUAUCUUCUCCAUAAGCAGCUUCUCUUCCUCAGUUACGCUUGUCUCAUCAUACACUAUAUGUGGAGGUAUCUCAUUUAUAUACUCAUUGGUAAGCUGUUCUCCUAUGCAUUCAUCUCCUUGUCUAUUGGUUACAUUGUUAUUUGGUGUUGCAUUCGCUUGUUGAUUUUUUUGUCAUCUUCCAUUGUUCCCCUAUGCCACCUUCUAUAAUAUUUCCUACUUGACCAUAUUCAGCAUCAUCAAUUGACCUUCUUAUGGCUUCAAGCUCUAAUUCAGGUAGCCAUUUCUUCUAUAUUAUUUGAGUCUUUUGAUCGAUAAGUCUCUGCUAUGUUAUUACAAACAUGCCCUAUUCAAACCAUAAGUUAUGCAUUCUCUUUCGAUAACCAAUUUUCUUUGGGUUGCUUCUGUGAAAGCACUCUAUUACAACUCUAUUUUCUUCGUGAGACCAUCGGGUCCUCCUAGCAGUAGCUGGAUGACGACCGGGAACAUGCUGCUGGACCAUGGUACACCUACCGGCUGAGAGACCUUAACUGUUCCAAUCUCAUUCACGCCAUUAUCUUCAUUAUUUGAAUUAGUGGAUAGUGGACUUUAGGUUACACAACCACCAGUGUUUUUAUCAAGACAUCAUCUCUAGGAGGGUUGCCAACCAAAGCUGAAGGGUCCCUCCCACCCAUAAGACAGACUAGCCCCCGCCGGACGCCAACCUGCUACUUCAUGGCCUCGAAGAGAGCUGACAGGUACUACACCUUGCUCAAGGGUGACCUGGAGGUAGUUGCAGCAAAGGGUAACCUCAUUCUUCCACAUCGAAACUCUACAACCGGAUGCAGUUUUAUGUCUUACCCAGGACCAAUUAUUAUUAGUAUUAUAAUCAUUAUUAUUAUAAUUAUUAUUAUUAUUAUUAUGAAUUUUAUUAUUAUUAUUAUUAUUAUUAUUACCUCGGCCGCUUCUUUGACUUCGAAAUGACCAAUGGCAGUCAUAAAGAAAAACUGCUAUCAAUGUUUCCCAGCCUUCUGAAAGAAAUUGAUUAAUUGCCUCUGCAUCCCAAAAAUAAACUUCUAUUGUACCACAGAUAUGUAUUGUCCAAAGUUUCUUGGCACUUCACUGUUGCAGACCUAUCGAAGACCUGAGUCAUUGAGAACCUCAAUAAUCUUGUCUCUAAAUACAUUCGCCAGUGGCUUGAUCUUCCCAUAAGUGCUACUUUAACUAGUAUAGUUCUUUCUAAAAAUCAAUUUGGUCUCGAUCUUCAGCUACCUUCUGUCAAAUUCACUCAAUGCCAAACUGUUUCAGGCAAUGCCCUCCGAACUUCUCCUAACACAAACAUUCAAGCUUUAUGGAAAAACACCAGUAGUGGGAUGAAUCUGCAAUACGACAUUUACCAUUACACCAAAGAUGUACUGAAAACAGUAAAAUCAGACAGUAGAGAGCGCUUGGCACACCAAUUACUAUCCCAGGGUGCUAUUAUUUCAUUUCUGUUGGACCACUCUCUUAAAAAGCUCAAUGGUCUUUGGUCUAUUGUGCAGAGCAACCUACCCACGAACAUCUUCAACUUCACCAUCAAGUACCUGAACAAUACUCUCCCUACGCGCAAAAAUCUAAGCCUUUGGAACCUAAGCCAAUUAUCUGAUUGCGAAUUCUGCCUUCUUCCCGAAACUUUACUCCAUGUCGUUGCAGGCUGCAAAGUUUAUCUCGAACAAGGUCGUUAUACCUGGCGUCAUAAUUCUGCUCUAAAUUUUCUUGCAACCUCCUUGAAAGCAAUAGAGGGAUCCUCUCUUUUUGCCGAUAUACCUGGCUUCUCCUUACCAUCCAUCAUAACUGGAGACAAUCUGCGCCCAGAUCUACUUCUGCGUACAAAGGAAAACAUUCUUUAUGUUUUGGAACUAACGAUAGGAUUUGAAACUAACCUUAACUGCAAUGCAGAAAGGAAACGUUCAAAAUAUGCUCGCCUUGUCUCAGAUCUAAGACCAAGGCUCAAAUCUGUCAUAUUUGUAAAUCUCUCCAUCAGCUCUCUUGGCAUCUUUGGCGACUCAUGCAGCUCAUUCCUUGAAAUGUGUGACUCUCUUUCCAUCGAUGAUCAACACAAACGAUAUCUCAUUUCUAAGCUUUCUUUGAUAUCCAUUCGUACCACCUAUUACAUUUUUUGCUGUAGGAACAAAACAUGGACUAACCCAGAGCUACUCCCCUUUUAACGUUUUUUUUUCUUUUCUCUUUACUACGAUUUGUAAUAGUCUUAUUUUGUAGAAACAGGCUAGCCAGUUACAAAUUACCUUGUAAUAGUGAGAUUUGUAAUUGUAGUUUUAACUGGAAUUCAAAAUGAAAAGUUUCCACUAUUAUUAUUAUUAUGGUUGUUGAGCAGUGGCGUUCAGAGCUCCCGUAUACGGCUCUCGUUUAAAAGCAAGUAUCAUUAUAGCCUGGUUACUUUGUACUCGUAUAUUACAGUAAAAUCGACUAUUGAAACGACAAGGAGUUUUUUAGAAAUGAUUCGUUCGCAUUGGCUUUAGAUUGUUGCACCAUUUGUGGUUUGUUCUUUCUGUGGUCAAGAUUUCAAAACGUUAGGCCGCCAUUCUUGGAGAUGUAAACGAAAGCUUGACGUCAACCACCAAAAUGGCCCCAACGGCUCCCGUUUAUCAACAUUCCUCUAAUUUCCGUAGAAACAAAUGAGGACAUUGUUACGCUAAACAAUUGGAUCAAAUGCUGUUGUGGAAAAAUUUGUAAAGGAACAAAAGGUUUAAAACGACCCUGAUACCUCUGAAGACCUAGUUUGUGAAGUUCAAAGCAACAAAGUCACUAGCAGCAUUGGGUUUCUAGAUGACGUCAAUUUGGAUGUAUUUUUGAAAUUAACCCAGUGUUCGUCUCCCAAAUUCGAAAAACGAAUGGUCCAUUGCAAACGAAUAUUUCAAAUCUACUUUAGCAAAUCUCCCUUUGAAACCGUGCACCAUCAACAAAGCAAUAACCUCAAUGAAUAACUCAAUUUAUAACUAUUUUAAAGAGACUUGUGGUACCAUCGACAAUAUUUCCAACGAUCUGGUCGCGAAAUAUCAAGAUCGAAAAGCCAAGGAAUUAAAAAAGGACUUAAAAUUGCUGAAGAUGAACAAUGUUACUCUUUUAGAAAUUAAAUACGUCUCUCAUCUACUGCGUCACAAAAUCAACAGCAGUGAAGUAUGAUUUCUAACACUACUCAUAUUGCUGAUCAUGAUAAGUUGAUCUCAAAAAAUUUCUGGGGUUACGUUAAAAACAUCUUCAAGAACAUUUCAUCAACCUCCCAACAUUUCUUAAUGAUAUAUGCACUCAGUAUUUUCUAAAAGCUCUUUCCUCUCUCUCACCUACGCAAUGUUUUUCAAUACCAUCUUGGAUACCUACUUUUCAAGAGCCGGAUCACCCUUUUCCGUCGGAGCCUCCUUCAUAUCAGCAAAUUACAACAAUAAUUUGCCGAAUGAAGUCUUCUGCUUCUCCUUGCCCCUUUGAAAAGAUCUCUAUCAUUGACUUCAAACAUUGUCCUUAUCUACGUAGUAAACUUACUGAAAUUUUCCGUGUUAUGUGGCUUUCCGGAGAUAUUCCAACUGAAUGGAAAAAGGCAUGCACUAUCUUAAUCUACAAAAAGGAUAGCACCGAAGAUCCAUCUAAUAUCAGGCCCAUAACGCUUGAGUCAGUACCACUAAAAAUAUUUACUUCUUGCUUGCGUGACUUCAUGUUUGAUUUUCUUAAAAUAAAUGGUUAUAUUGAACAUCAAAUUCAAAAGGCUUCACGUCUAACAUAUCUGGCACUCUUGAACAUACUUCAAUGAUGGCUCACAUUAUCGACAAAGCACGUACAAAACAGUGCUCGCUGGUUGUCACUCUUCUUGAUCUCAAAAAUGCCUUUAGGGAAGUACAUCAUAAUUUGAUACCCACUAUACUGUCUUAUCAUCAUAUCCCUGACAUCAUACAGCUUCUUAUCUCUAGCCUUUACACCGAUUUUAAAACCUCUAUCAUCACAAGCCACUAUAAUACUCCUGCUUUUCCAGUUCGUUGUGGUGUGCUUCAAGGCGACUGCCUCAGUCUGCUACUAUUUAAUCUAUGUUUUGAUACUUUUAUACAGUACAUAAAAGCUGAAAAUACAAACAGUUAGGUUCGUAUGUUUCAACCAGUCCAUUGGUUUCAAUUCGCAUACGAUGCUGCCGUUAUCACCAGCAAUGAGAAAGAUUACCAACUUCUACUGAAUUGUUUCACUCGCUGGUGUCAAUGGUCUAACAUGAUCAUAUGUGUCGAUAAAUGCAUCACUUUUGGAAUAAAGAAAUUUUCCACACGUUCUCUUCAGUAUCAACCUAAGCUUUUUAUAAACAACAAAUCUAUCCCAUCUGUCUCGAAUGGAAACUCUUUCAAGUACCUCGGUCAUCAUUUUGACUCUGAGAUGACAAACCAAGAACAUAAAUCUGACCUUUUAUCAUCACUGUCCAACAUGAUAAAAAAAAUCAAUUCGCAGCCUCUGCAUGCAAAAAAUUAACUGCGUCUUUAUCACAACUUUGUUCUUUCUAAAAUCUGCUAGAACCUUACUGUAGCGGAUCUUUCAAAGACGGGGCUUGUCGAGAAUCUUGACAACCUCGUAUCCAAAUACAUCUGCCAGUGGCUCGACCUCCCAACAAGUGCUACCUUGAGUAGCGUUAUUCUUUUUAAAAACCAGUUUGGACUUAGCCUAACUUCACCAUCCACCAAAUUCCUGCAGUGUCAAUUAGUUUUACGCAACGCAUUGAAAUCUUCACCAAACGGUAACAUUCGCUCUUUAUAUAAAAAUACCAGCAGUAGCACAAAUAUACAGUAUGAUAUAUAUAGGAACACCAAAGAAGCAUUAAAGGCUGUCCAGCAUGAGCAUAAAGAUCGUCUGCAAAACAUCCUAACCUCCCAGGGAUCUUUAUUAUCACAUCUCUUUAAUCAGAAUCUUCCACAAACAAACAAACUUUGGUCCAAGGUGUAAAGUAGCAUGCCUCAGAAUAUUUUCAAUUUCACCAUUAGGUACCUCAACAAUACCCUUGCCACACAGAAAAACCUGAAAAAAUGGAACUUGAGCCAGACCUUUGACUGUUCUUUCUGUUUUCUGCCAGAAACCCUCCUUCAUGUUGUUGCUGGCUGCAAAACAUAUCUGGUACAAGGCCGAUACACCUGGCGACAUAACUCUAUCCUAAAUUUUCUAGCAACGUCACAAAAGGCUGUCAAUGAAUCUACCAUCUACGUUGAUAUACCUGGCUUUCUUUCACCAUCAAUCAUAACUGGAGAAAACCUUCACCCUGAUCUUCUCUUGAGGACUAACAACAAUUACCUCUACAUUUUAGAGCUAACUGUUGGCUUCGAAUCCAAUCUAAACACAAAUGCUAGAAGAAAACACAGCAAGUAUGCUGCUCUUUUAUCUGGUUUACAGCGGCAGUUCAAAUGUGUCUCCUUUGUUAAUCUUUCUAUGAGCUCUCUUGGCAUCUUCGGCAACUCCUGCAAUUCAUUCUUCAAAAUGUGUGACUCUCUCUCCAUCGAUCAGCAACAAAAACGGUAUCUCAUUUCUAAACUUUCCAACAUUUCCAUCCGUACUACGUACUACAUAUUUUGUUGCUAAAAUAAGCCAUGGACAAAUCCGGAAGUACAUCCUUUUUAGUUUUGGUUGUUUUUUUUUCUCAGUUUUUCCUUCUACCUUACGAUUGUUGUAGUUUUUUCUUGUAAAACCAGGCUAGCCAAUUGCAAAUUACCUUGUAAUAGUGAGAUUCGUAAUUGUAGUUUAAGUUGAAUUGAAAAUGAAAUGUUCUCAUUUUUGGUCGUUGAGCGGUUGCGUGUGGACGCUGCUGUACAUGGCUCCGGUUUAACUUAUAUAUAUCACUUAUACAAUAACUUAUUUAUAUCAGGUACUUUAGAACACACUGCACUUAUGGGUGAUAUGAUAAAUAGAGCUCCCAUGAAACAGCGCUCUUUGGUUGUUAUCCUGCUUGAUCUAAAAAAUGCUUUCGGCAAAGUCCACCUAUUCCCACUAUUCUCUCGUACCAUCAUAUACCAUCUCAUAUUCAGGCUUUGAUCUCCAGCUUAUAUUCGGGCUUCAAGACCUCUAUCCUCACAGAUACAUUCCAAACCCCUGCCUUUCCCGUCUGUCGUGGUGUUCUUCAAGGUGACUGCCUCAGCCCUCUUAUCUUCAAUCUUUGCUUCAAUACGUAUAUACACGUAAGUCAUAUAAAAACACGUAAGUCAGUAAAGGCUUUUGCCUUAGAACACAGCUCUUUAAUGGCACUUAUUAUAAACAAAGCUCGAAUCCAACAACGUACAAUUGUUAUAAAUUUGCUGGAUCUCAAAAAUUCUUUUGGAGAGAUUCAUCACAACCUAAUUCCUGAAAUUCUAGACUAUCAUCGUAUUCCACCUGUCAUAUCAACAUCAGUUUCCAAUCUCAAUGUAUACUUUAAAACCUCCAUGAUCACACAUGAAUGCCAUACUCCAUUAAUACCUAUUCGCUGUGCACUUCUUCAAGGUGACUGCUCAAGCUCUCUUCUUUUCAUCCUUUGCUUUAACACCUUUAUCCAGUAUGUCAAGGCCAAGAAAUUUAGACAGCUUGGUUUUUCUCUACAUGAAAGUUGAUUGCUUGGUUUUUGAUUGGUGUGCACAGUAUUGGACUCCCCUUCGACCACUAUCGACCAUUGUCAAUUUCCAAGUAAAUUAGUAAAAUUAACUCAUUGCUCUCGCUUCUGAGAAUUACUUUAUAAUGAAGACACUUUUUCCCUCAAACUUGACAGGGAAAUGAUUAGAAACUUCCAUGUCAAACAUAUUUGCAGCCUGACAAUCGACACUGAUAUACAGCUGUCGAACUGAAUUAUCGAUCAAAUUGGUCGAUGUUGAUUGAAUUGAUUGAUGUCAAUUGAUUCAACCGCUUUCGUUUUAGUGGAAACUGGGCUUAAUCACUCAGAAUGUAUCAGUGGUUACUCCCUGUGUUCAAGAUUAGAAAAUAAACGUUUGGUUCUUGCGGGCCUGGAGCUGCUGAAGAAUAGGCCUUUGCUGUUUGUAAUAACACAGAAGUUUUAGUGUCAAUAUGCAUUGUCAUGGUUGAGUUAGUAGUUGUUAGCUGAGAUACAUUUUAACACGAAUUGCCACUAUCAAAGGAUGUUGAAAGAUGCUGAUUCCCCUGCAACUGUACAGGAUUAGUUGGCGCUGUGAAUUGGCUCCGCGAAACUCCAGGUGUGGAAUGCUGUAUUUGACAAGUGCUGGUAUGAUGGCUUUGUUUUCAAAUAAAACAGUUUAUGAUGCUUGUGCAAUCUCUGGAAAUAUAUCCCUUUUUCAAGCAAACAUAACAAGUUCCAUACUUUUGAAGAAGUACUUUUCUUUGCCCUCUAUCGGUUUACCACUUUUGGAAGGCUUAUGAGGCAUUUUUCCUAUAUUGGCUUGAAUCUUGGAAAAUUGCGUUUUUGUCAUUAAUUAUGCUCCAAACGUUUACAAGAGGCCAGUUGGGUCUUCGAUGGAAUCAGAUUUCAGUUCUCUAUCAGCAGAAACGUUUUUGUUUCAAAUUAGCCCUUUUGGGAGGUUGAUGAGGCUAUUAUCCUUUAUGGGCAUAAAUUGUUUAAAUUACGUUUUUGGCUUUAAGUUAAUUCAGCUCCAAAAGAGUCUUGGUUGUUAGCAGACUUAAGUUCUCUUUCUGCAGAAACUUUUCGUUUCAAAAUACCCUUUUUGGGGAGCUUCUGAAGCGAAUAUCCUAUAUGGGCAUUAAUUAUAUAAAUGACGUUUUUGUUUUUAUUUUGUCUCCAAAGGAUCGCAAAAGGCUAGUUGAGCCUUCGUUUGAAGUAGAUUUGAAUUCCCUUUCUGGAAAAAAUUUUUCUUUCUAAUUAUCCCUUUAGGUGGCUUAUGUGGUAAUAUACCUAAAAUUGGUAUAAAUUAUAUAAAUUACAUUUUCGGUAUUUAUUCAGAUCUGAAAGAUUGCAAGAGGCUGCUUUGGUUCUCUUUGAAAGUAAAUUUUGAUGGUCUAUAUAUGGAAAUUUUUGUCUCAAAUAUGCAGUUUUGAAAGGCGAUAAACCAAUUUUCUUAUAUGGAAAUAAAUCUGGCAUUUUACAUUUUUGCUUCAAUUUAAGCUCGGAACGAUUGCUGUGUCUUUGUUGGCAGCAGAUUUUAAUUUUGUAUGUGUAAAAAAAUUUUUAUUUUAUAAUUUGCACUUUUUUGAGGCUUAUGAGGCAUUUUCCUUCUAUGGGCAUAAAUCGGAAAAUAAAAUGCCAUCAAUUCAGGGACAAAAUAUUCGAGGAGGCUUGAUGGGAGCUUGUUUGAUAUAGAUUUUGAUCAUCUCUUUGAGGAAAACCGCUGAUGUCUUAAAUGCGCUUUUUUGAGGCAAUUGCCCAACUUCCUUUUGAGGGGCAAUAUGCCAGUUUCCUUAUAUGGACAUGAAUCAUGUAAAUUCAGGUCCAAAAGAUUGCAAAAGGCUGCUUGGUUGCUCUUUUAAAGUAGCUCUUUAUUGUUUAUGUGUGGAAAUUUUUCAGUCUCAUAUAAGCAGCUUUGAGGGACAAUAACCCAAUCUUCUAAUAUAAGUAUAAGUCUGGUUUUCUAUAUCUUGCCAAAUUCAGCUCUAAAUUGUUCCAAAGGCAGUCAGGAUCAUUAUUGGAUAAAGAUUUUUAUUCUUGCAUGUGUCAUUUUUUGGCUUCAAUUCAACCCUUUUUGGGGGUUAUGAGGCAAUUCCCUUCUUCUGGCAUAAAUCACGUAAAUAACGUUUUUUGCCAAUAAUUCAGCUUCAAAAGAUUGAAAGAGGCUGGUUGGGUGCUGGUUGGAAGCAGAUUUUAUUGUCUAUCUGUUGAAAAGUUUUUGUCUCAAAUAAGCACUUUUAAGGGGAAAUAACCCAAUUUCCAUUUAUGGUUAAUAAUCCGGUAUUUGUUGUUUUUGCCAUUUAUAUGCUAUAAAGAUCGCAAGAGGCUGAAUUGGUUCUUUUGGAAACAGAUUCAAAUUCUCUUAGUUUGGAAUUUCUUUUCAAAUUAGCAAUUUUGGAAGGCUUAUGGGGAUACAAGCAUAGAUCUUUAUGUUACGUUUUUGCAGUUAGUUUAUUACAAAAGAUGGCAAGAGAAUGAUUGGAAGCUCAUAAGAAGUAGAUUUUGAUUGUCUAUGUGUGGAAAUUGUUUUUAUUUCUCAAAUACGCAGUUUUUAAGGGUAACAACCCAUUUUCCUUAAUUGGGCAUAAAUCUAAUGUUUUGCAUUUUUGCUGUUAAUUCAGCUCCAGAAGAUUGCAAAAGGCUUAUUGGGUGAUCAUUGAAAGCAGAUUUUGAUUUUCUAUGUGUUAAAGAUUUAUGUCUCGAACAAAUUCUUUUGAGAGGCAAUAACCCUAUUUCCUUAUAUGGGCAUAUAUCUGGUGUUUUACGUUUUGCUUUUCAUUCAGCUACAAAAGAUUGCAAGAGGCUGAUUGGGUCUUCGUUGAAAGCAAAUUUUGACUUUAAAUCAUCAGAAAUCUUUUUGUUUCAAAUUAGCACUUUUGGGGGCUCAUGAGGCCAUUUUCCUAUAUGGGCAUAAGUUGUGUAAGUUAUGUUUUUGACGUUAUUUCAGCUCCAAAGGAUUGAAAGAGGCCAAUUGGGUCUUCGUUGGAAGCAGAUUUCAGCUCUCUGUCUGCAGAAACUGUUUUGUUUCAAAACAGACGUUUUCGGGUGCUUAUGAGGGUACUAAGAAAUUUUGCGAUAUUCAAGAAAAUGCACAUGAAGAUGAUGAGAGCUAAGAUGAUGAAAUUCUGGAAGACGAUACCUUAGACGCUGCAGAAUCGUGCCUACAAAUUCAACAAGAAAUUUGUAGCUGGGGCCUCAUAAAUGUUUCUAUUUGAAUAAUCAAAAACACCGAAAUAGAUUUUCCUAAAGACAGAAAAUUGGACUAGGCCUCUAAACUACGCUAUGAAAUGUUAAUAGAAUAAACUCUAGUUGUUUUCACUCCACAUAAAUUUCGACCACAGCAUUAGUAAGUAGUAAUUAAAGCGUCGUGGUUAUUAACAUUUUGCUUUUUCAAGUCACUGUCCUCCAUGCAAUAUUUAGUCUAUAAAUGAUUAGAGUUUAGAUAUACGUGAAAAUACCUGUUAGCAAGCUAUCACCGACUCAAAACUCUUUGUAAUAGUUAUCCAGUCAAAAUAUUGCUCACUGUAAGAGCAAAUUAGCAAACAUGCCUGCCAAAUGAAAGAAGUCAACCCCGAUAACAUCAAAAUACCAAAUGGUGAAGGAUAAAAAAUUCAAACCAUUACCUUAACCUUACCCUAAGCCUUACCAAAAGUAUUUCUAAAAUCCUUUUUGUAACCAAAACCCUAACCCUAACUAUAACACAAAAUUUAAUCUAAAUAUUACCCCUAAUCUAACGAUAGCCCUAGCCCUAGCCUUAACCCGACCCUCGCCCUAACACUAAACCUAAACCUUACUAUAGCCCUAACUCUUAUCCAAAAGACAACCUUAACAGUAACUUCAACCCUAAUCCUCACCCUAAACCUAAGCCUAACCCUAACCCUAACCCUUACACUAGCCCUAUCGAUGACCCUAUCUCAAACCUUAACCCUUAACCUAACCAUAACAAAACCAAACCAUUACCCCAACCAUCACUAGAAACUGUAACGUUAACCUAAACCCUUACCCUAAAACUAACCCUUAUCUUAAACCUAACCCUAACCCUAAACCCAAAUAUUUGACUAACCUUAACUUUGAACUUAAUCCUAACCCUAAGCCUAACCAUAACUCCAACCGUACCCUAACUCUAACCCUAACCUUAACCUUAACUCAACCCUAACCCCAUCCCUAACCCCAGAUCUAACCCAUACAUUAACCCCAAAGCUAACCCCAACCUUAACCCUAACUCUAACCCUAGCGCUAACCAUUACUUUAACCCUAACCUCAAACUAAUUCCUUAACAAACACCUAUCCCUAACCAUAACCCUUACCCUGAACCUAAAUCUUGUCCCUACCCUAGUCCUAAAUUUAACCCUAACCCUAACCCUUACAAUAACCCUAAUCCUAGCCCUAACCUUAAUCCUAAACCUAACCCUUUCCCUAGCACUCACCUUAACCGUAAACCUUACCCUUACCUUAACCCUGACCCUUUCCCUAACCCUAAGCCUAACCCUAACUAUAAUUCUAUCUCUAACCCAAACCCUAAACCAAACCCUAACCAUAGCCCUUAUCCUGACCAUUACCAAAAACCUAACCUCAAAACCAUUACCAUAUCCCUACCUUUAAUUCUUAUCCUAAACCUAACCCUAACCACAUCACCACCCCCUAACCAUAGCAUAACCGUAACCGUAUCCUCAACCCUAUCCAUAGCCCUAAGCUUAACCCUAACCCUUUUACCUUUUUUUAGAUUAUCUAAAGUCUUCUCUUUCUUCUCAUUCUUUUAUUUUUUUCUCUUCUCUUUUUUUUCUUUUACUUUUUUCCGUUUUCUUUUUCUCAUUUGUUCUUUCACUUUUUUAUUUUUUAGACAUUCUUUUUUUAUAUCUUUCAGUACUUUUUUAACUUUUUCUCUUUCUUGUAAUUUAUAUUGCUCAUUUAUUUUUCAUCUUUUGCAUUUAGUUAUAUUUGCCUUUUCUUCAUUUUUCUUUAUCUUUUACCUCUUUUGCAUUAUUUUCCUUUUUUACUGCUUUUUGUAAAUUUUUUGUUUACUUUUUUAUCUUCUCUAACUUUUUUCACUUUUGUUUGACUUUUUUUACUUUUUUUCUUUAAUUUUCCAAUUUCCUUUUUCAAUUUCCUUAUAAUUCUUUUUUUGCGGUAUUUUAAAUUCCUUUACUCUUUUUAUCUCUAUUCAUUUUUUUCUUUCUUUAAAUUUUUGUUCACUGCUUUCUCUUUUUUUCACUUUUUGAUUUUUUUUCCAUUUUUUUUCAUUUUACUUCUUUCUUUUCUAUUAUCUUUUUUUAUUUUUACAUUUUUUCUCAUUUUCAAAUUUUCUUCAUUUUUGUUAUUCUAUAUCAAUUUUUUCACUUCUUUACAAUAUUUUAAUUUUUUGAUUUUUUCUCAUUUUCAAUUUUCUUUCUCCUUAAAUUCUUUGUUUUUUUUUUAAUUUUUUUCACUUUCUUAUAUUUACUUUACCCCAUUAAAUGUUGUUUUAAGCUUUUUUAUUUUCUUAAUUCUUUUAAAUUUUGCCAAUUUUUUUCUUUUUUUCUUUUUUAUUAGUUCUUUUCAUUUUCUUCUUUUUUCAACUUCCUUUCAUCUCUUUGUAUUUCUUCCCUGUUUUUUCUUUUUUUUUUCUUUCUCUCUUCUGUUUUUGAUCAAUUUUCGUUAUUUUCUCACACUGUUACAUUUCUUUAUCUUUUGAAUUUUGUACCAUUUUUUUUAUCUUCAUUUAAAUCCUUUCAAUUUGUUUUGACUUCAAUGUUUUUUAACUUUUCUUCAUAUUUAUUAUUGAUUUUUUUUCACCUUCUCCUUUUUUCAUUUCAUUUCUUAUCCAAUUCUGUAUUCUUUUAUUUUUUUAUUUUUUAAUUCAUUUUUCAAUUUUUAAAAUGUUUGUUCAUCUUUUUUAAUUUCCUUAAUAUUUUUGACUUUUUGAUUUCUAUUUCUUUAAUAUUUUUUAAUUAUUUAAUUCUUUUUGUUAUUUACUUGGCAUUUCUUUCAUUAUUUUCCUGAAGCUUUCUUUUUGUCCAUUUGUUAUUUCUAAACGUUUUUCUUUUCCUUUCAUUUUUUUA